GACGAACGCUGGCGGCGUGCUUAACACAUGCAAGUCGAACGGACCCUUUGGGGUUAGUGGCGAACGGGUGAGUAACACGUGGGUGAUCUGCCCUGCACUUUGGGAUAAGCCUGGGAAACUGGGUCUAAUACCGGAUAGGACUACGCACUGCAUGGUGUGUGGUGGAAAGCUUUUGCGGUGUGGGAUGGGCCCGCGGCCUAUCAGCUUGUUGGUGGGGUGAUGGCCUACCAAGGCGACCACGGGUAGCCGGCCUGAGAGGGUGACCGGCCACACUGGGACUGAGAUACGGCCCAGACUCCUACGGGAGGCAGCAGUGGGGAAUAUUGCACAAUGGGCGCAAGCCUGAUGCAGCGACGCCGCGUGAGGGAUGACGGCCUUCGGGUUGUAAACCUCUUUCGCCAGGGACGAAGCGCAAGUGACGGUACCUGGAGAAGAAGGACCGGCCAACUACGUGCCAGCAGCCGCGGUAAUACGUAGGGUCCGAGCGUUGUCCGGAAUUACUGGGCGUAAAGAGCUCGUAGGUGGUUUGUCGCGUUGUUCGUGAAAACUCACAGCUUAGCUGUGGGCGUGCGGGCGAUACGGGCAGACUGGAGUACUGCAGGGGAGACUGGAAUUCCUGGUGUAGCGGUGGAAUGCGCAGAUAUCAGGAGGAACACCGGUGGCGAAGGCGGGUCUCUGGGCAGUAACUGACGCUGAGGAGCGAAAGCGUGGGGAGCGAACAGGAUUAGAUACCCUGGUAGUCCACGCCGUAAACGGUGGGUACUAGGUGUGGGUUUCCUUCCUUGGGAUCCGUGCCGUAGCUAACGCAUUAAGUACCCCGCCUGGGGAGUACGGCCGCAAGGCUAAAACUCAAAGGAAUUGACGGGGGCCCGCACAAGCGGCGGAGCAUGUGGAUUAAUUCGAUGCAACGCGAAGAACCUUACCUGGGUUUGACAUGCGCAGGACGCCGGCAGAGAUGUCGGUUCCCUUGUGGCCUGUGUGCAGGUGGUGCAUGGCUGUCGUCAGCUCGUGUCGUGAGAUGUUGGGUUAAGUCCCGCAACGAGCGCAACCCUUGUCUCAUGUUGCCAGCACGUUAUGGUGGGGACUCGUGAGAGACUGCCGGGGUCAACUCGGAGGAAGGUGGGGAUGACGUCAAGUCAUCAUGCCCCUUAUGUCCAGGGCUUCACACAUGCUACAAUGGCCGGUACAAAGGGCUGCGAUGCCGUGAGGUGGAGCGAAUCCUUUCAAAGCCGGUCUCAGUUCGGAUCGGGAUCUGCAACUCGACCCCGUGAAGUCGGAGUCGCUAGUAAUCGCAGAUCAGCAACGCUGCGGUGAAUACGUUCCCGGGCCU
Molecule: ribosomal RNA, 1330 nt
Filed under: uncultured bacterium
Lineage: Bacteria
Description: bacterial SSU rRNA
Rfam family: Bacterial small subunit ribosomal RNA
Source: RNAcentral